AAGUCGAGGGGCAGCAUGAUUUGUAGCAAUACAGAUUGAUGGCGACCGGCGCACGGGUGAGUAACACGUAUCCAACCUGCCGAUAACUCGGGGAUAGCCUUUCGAAAGAAAGAUUAAUACCCGAUAGUAUAGUAUUUCCGCAUGGUUUCACUAUUAAAGAAUUUCGGUUAUCGAUGGGGAUGCGUUCCAUUAGAUAGUUGGCGGGGUAACGGCCCACCAAGUCAACGAUGGAUAGGGGUUCUGAGAGGAAGGUCCCCCACAUUGGAACUGAGACACGGUCCAAACUCC
Molecule: ribosomal RNA, 288 nt
Filed under: uncultured Bacteroides sp.
Lineage: Bacteria; Pseudomonadati; Bacteroidota; Bacteroidia; Bacteroidales; Bacteroidaceae
Description: partial 16S ribosomal RNA
Rfam family: Bacterial small subunit ribosomal RNA
Source: RNAcentral